Long non-coding RNA from Peromyscus eremicus (cactus mouse), 1346 nucleotides. RefSeq lists it as uncharacterized. The transcript has 3 exons. NCBI's taxonomy places the organism in Eukaryota, Metazoa, Chordata, Mammalia, Rodentia, Cricetidae. The record is from RefSeq and is a predicted model, not a curated record.
GUGAGGCUAAAUUUGAACGUAAUGGACUAAAUUGUUCUGGGGAAGAAAUUUUAAGGCUUUACAGCAUCUGGCCUGAAGUGUGGUUACUACUCACUACACUGCUCUGCUCUCAAGUAUCCAGUGAGAUAGAGGAGGCGGAGCAGAAAGGUAUUAAAAAUGUAGUUCGGUAGGAAAAGGAGUGUUAACAAAUUGAAAGUUGCAGACAUGGCAGAUGUGGGAAAAACAAGUGUUUAACCGUUAGAGAUUAUUACAGAGGGACCUCCCACUCCUCAAUGGGUGUGUCUGAGUCACAGAGUUAACUGAGCAUCAGAGGUGGGAUGUUAUGAUUAAAACUGAUAUGCUUAGGUAUCAAGCUGAGAAAGGGCAGAAGGAUGAUUGUUAGUCUGGAUCAUUAACUUCAAAGUACUGAGAAUCACCUAGGAGACACACCUCUAGACGCCUGUGAGGGCAUUUCCUAGGAGUUUAACUGAAGAGGAGAGGUGAUCCACCCCUAACAUAGGCGGCAGCAUCUCAUGAACUACAGACUGGGAUGGAGAAAAAGGAAGCCAGAUGAUAAGUUUGUGAAAUGAGGAAGAAAAAAGCCAUUCCCAAGAUCUGGUGACAGGAGCUUCCAGCAAUGACCCUGACCCCUAUCAGUCAUAUAAGAGUACUCCUUUCAUCUGUGAACAAAGAAUUUAACCUAACUGGCGUCUCAUUUACUACAUGCCAAGAACAAGCCAAAUCAGCCUUUCAAGUGGCUUUUUUCCUGUAAGCUUUACUUCUAGGAGUCAAAGGAACCCCAGGAAACCAAAAACUUAACUUACAUCUACAAAGCAUAAAGGCUCUCUUUACUGCGCAUUUCAAAGGGACUUCUGAACUGUACAGGCUCUAUGGACCUCACCUCCAUGCCUUUGUAGCCAUCCUUCGACUGCUGGAGAGCUUCUGUUAUCCCACGGCAGUCUUGGAGAUCUCUCUGUAGCUGAGACACCAGAUGACGCUUCACGGAGUUGCUUUUCAGCAAGUGCUGAACUUGGGCUUUCAACUUCAAGAUAAGCUCAUCCUUCGAAAGCUCUUCCUUUGGGGCUUCUUGCUGUGCAGUACUGAUGAGGAAAUGGCCAGUUUUAGGAUUAAACCAAGUAACCAAUCAAACACAGUUAUUCUUUAAAGCCCUAACCACACGGUAAUGUUUUUUUGUUUUAUUUGUUUGUUGGGUUGGUUGGUUUUUGCGAGACAGGGUUUCUCUGUGUAGUUUUUGGUGCCUGUCCUGGAUCUCGCUCUGUAGGCCAGGCUGGCCUCGAACUCACAGAGAUCCGCCUGGCUCUGCCUCCUGUGUGCUAAGAUUAAAGGCGUGCGCCACUACUGCCGGA